UGAGGAAUAUUGGGCAAUGCCCGCAAGGGUGACCCAGCAACGCCGCGUGGAGGAUGAAUGUCGUAAGAUUGUAAACUCCUGUUAGAGGGGAAGAAUAGUACCGGUUGGACCGGUAUAUGACUGUACCCUCAGAGAAAGCCCCGGCUAACUACGUGCCAGCAGCCGCGGUAAUACGUAGGGGGCAAGCGUUGUCCGGAUUUACUGGGUGUAAAGGGCGCGCAGGCGGGAUAAAAAGUCAGUGGUGAAAUCCUACAGCUUAACUGUAGAACUGCCUUUGAUACUUUUAUUCUUGAGUUCGGGAGAGAGAGACGGAAUUCCAGGUGUAGUGGUGAACUACGUAGAUAUCUGGAAGAACACCAGUUGCGAAGGCGGUCUCUUGGUCCGACACUGACGCUGAGGCGCGAAAGCGUGGGGAGCAAACA
RNAcentral lists this ribosomal RNA (422 nucleotides) under uncultured bacterium. RNAcentral's name for it is "bacterial SSU rRNA". It matches the Rfam family "Bacterial small subunit ribosomal RNA", at positions 355 to 774 of the family's 1533-position model. The record is from RNAcentral.